GCUGCUAACCAGAGGGAAAAAAGAUAAGGGGUGGAACAGAGUCCUUUUGCUGCCUUUUUUCACAAUUUUUCACUUGGAAAACCUAUGUCAGCCUCAAGUCACAAAUAGCCCUUCUGGGUAUGGAUAUGGAGCAUCUACUUUUGGAGAUAACAUGAAUGUAGAAGCAAACGGACUGCUGUCACACCUGGAGGCCUUUCAUUUCUUGUCCUUAGUGACCUGGAACCCUUAUGGUGCUGUCUGUAUGGGCACCUGUCCAGA
RNAcentral lists this long non-coding RNA (258 nucleotides) under Anas platyrhynchos platyrhynchos (common mallard). RNAcentral describes it as "lncRNA (ENSAPLG00000028049.1)". Lineage: Eukaryota; Metazoa; Chordata; Aves; Anseriformes; Anatidae. The record is from RNAcentral.